Molecule: transfer RNA, 65 nt
Filed under: Glyptonotus cf. antarcticus FK-2009
Lineage: Eukaryota; Metazoa; Arthropoda; Malacostraca; Isopoda; Chaetiliidae
Description: tRNA-Pro
Source: RNAcentral
CAAGAAGCAGUUUAAGUUUAAAAUAUUAGUUUUGGGGACUAGAGAUGAGAUAAAGUCCUUCUUGA